GCCGGGCGUGGUGGCUCAUGCCUGUAAUCCCAGCACUCUGGGAGGCCGAGGCGGGUGGAUCACCUGAGGUCAGGAGUUUGAAACCAGCCUGGCCAACAUGGUGAAACCCUGUCUCUA
Pongo abelii (Sumatran orangutan) is the source of this 117-nucleotide unclassified non-coding RNA. It matches the Rfam family "Metazoan signal recognition particle RNA". From Rfam's summary of the family: The signal recognition particle (SRP) is a universally conserved ribonucleoprotein. It is involved in the co-translational targeting of proteins to membranes. NCBI's taxonomy places the organism in Eukaryota, Metazoa, Chordata, Mammalia, Primates, Hominidae. The record is from Ensembl.